Molecule: ribosomal RNA, 468 nt
Filed under: uncultured bacterium
Lineage: Bacteria
Description: partial 16S ribosomal RNA
Rfam family: Bacterial small subunit ribosomal RNA
Source: RNAcentral
GACGAACGCUGGCGGCGUGCUUAACACAUGCAAGUCGAACGGAAAGGCCUUGCUUUUGUGGGGUGCUCGAGUGGCGAAAGGGUGAGUAACACGUGAGUAACCUGCCCUUGACUUUGGGAUAACUUCAGGAAACUGGGGCUAAUACCGGAUAGGAGCUCCUGCUGCAUGGUGGGGGUUGGAAAGUUUCGGCGGUUGGGGAUGGACUCGCGGCUUAUCAGCUUGUUGGUGGGGUAGUGGCUUACCAAAGCUUUGACGGGUAGCCGGCCUGAGAGGGUGACCGGCCACAUUGGGACUGAGAUACGACCCAUACUCCUACGGGGGGCAGCAGUGAGGAUCAUUGCGCGAUGGGCAGAGGCCUGAAGCAGCAACUCCGCAUGCUGGAUGACUGCCUUCGGGUUGGAAACCUCUUUCGCCUGUAACGAAGCGUGAGUGACGGUAAUGGGUAAGAAAGCACCGGCUAACUACGUG